Non-coding RNA from Paramisgurnus dabryanus, 1495 nucleotides. Lineage: Eukaryota; Metazoa; Chordata; Actinopteri; Cypriniformes; Cobitidae. The record is from RefSeq and is a predicted model, not a curated record.
AUAGCUAAUUCGUAAUUCGUUUUUUGUCAUGUGGUGUGUUCAUGUAUGUAACUAAGAAGUGACAUGCUGUUAUACAGUUAUAUAAAGGUGAAUCUGUUUUAAUUCUAGUUGUCCAGCUACAGAUUAAGAUGCUUAGUAUGAUUAAUCAUCCUCUGUUGUCAUGGACGAACCUGGAGAUGUGUUAUGGAGGAGGAAAAAACAAAAAAGACUCAUCUGAUGAGAAACCACUGCAAGAAUCUCAUCCUGUUCACACAAGUCUGUGCAGCAUGCAUGUAUCAGCAUUUUUUGUGACCAGUGACUUCUCUUCUGAGGGGCGUGAAUUCCAAAUAUGUGUUUGUUGUGACGUGUGUGAACCAUGUGCAUCAUGCCUCUUGUCACAAUACGUGCCUGCUGCACACGCGUUGAAAAGGUUUAUGAUAAAAGAAGCACUCAUGUUCACAAAAUACUCGCAAGACACUAACUUGACACUAAACUGUGAUUACACAGGAGAUUAAGUAAGUAUCAGGCAAACGUGAGCGUAUCUUUUAUCAUAAACCCUUUACAUGCGUGUGCAGCAGAUUUUGACAUCACGUGUGAUGCACAUAAGUUUACAUGACGCGCUGAACACAUAUUUUGAAAUGACAAGCAACACACAUGACGAGCUCAAUGCAUGUGACCAGCUUCGCAACGUGUGCCCUCGAAAAAAGUCACCGGCCGACACUGACCCAGAUCAUCAAGAUGUUAAAGCUGUUUGGGCUUCAGAGCAUCUUGUCAGCACCUUCUUCCACCAUGUACACAAUUUCUACCAUCGUGAAGGCGUGGCAGAAUGAGAGAUUUGCAGUCACCACAGGCUCUACGAGAAUGCAGCACUGUCCUGUCUUCCACUACACCUGCUCCCCUCUCCAGAGCCAUCCAGAGGAUCAACAAGGAUGAAGCUGUUGGGAUCUAUUAAUCACAGCAUUCACAAUUUAACACACUUCAACACAUUAUUAUAAUACCCGCACAUAUGAUGGAAAGAUACAAAUUUUUUUUUAAAUGUUUUUAAAUGGGUCAGAUUGUAUAUCUUUCUUUCGGUGCUACAUAAAUAAAACUAAAUCGAAUUACAAAUGCAGAUCUACUUUGUAUAUAUCUGAUCUAAACUUCAUAAACCAGUUUUUAUACGGUAAGACAAUUUGUGAUUAUUGUUUAUUGAUUGUCACAAAAUGGGGGUAUUCAAACCAUUUAUAAAGUCCUCCUUCCUCUGGAACCUGUCCUCGAAUGGCUGACACAUGCAGGUAAGGGCGCCUGCACAGAAUUCCUUAGACGCCCAGCGGAUAACUUGCCUAUGCUGUAUUUAGUGGUAUUGUCUGGAGAUGGGAAAACUAUUAAUAUUGUUAAUUUGAAUAUUGACUAGUGCCAGCAAAAAUUGUGACUUAGUCAUGACCUAUAGGCAACUUGUAAUUAAAACAAAUUCAUUAAGAUUGUUUUAAAACAAAUUUAUUAAGAUUGUUUUAACAUUCAAAUCUUUAGUUUACUG